RNAcentral lists this ribosomal RNA (460 nucleotides) under uncultured bacterium. RNAcentral describes it as "partial 16S ribosomal RNA". It matches the Rfam family "Bacterial small subunit ribosomal RNA", at positions 338 to 795 of the family's 1533-position model. The record is from RNAcentral.
CCUACGGGAGGCAGCAGUGAGGAAUAUUGGUCAAUGGGCGGAAGCCUGAACCAGCCAAGUAGCGUGCAGGAUGACGGCCCUACGGGUUGUAAACUGCUUUUAUAAGGGAAUAACGCGCCUUACGUGUACGGCUUUGCAUGUACCGUAUGAAUAAGGACCGGCUAAUUCCGUGCCAGCAGCCGCGGUAAUACGGAAGGUCCGGGCGUUAUCCGGAUUUAUUGGGUUUAAAGGGAGCGUAGGCGGCUUGUUAAGUGAGUUGUGAAAUGUCCGGGCUCAACCCGGGCAUUGCAGCGCGAACUGGCGGCCUUGAGUCCGCGUAAAGUAGGCGGAAUUCGUCGUGUAGCGGUGAAAUGCUUAGAUAUGACGAAGAACCCCGAUUGCGAAGGCAGCUUGCUGCAGCGGAACUGACGCUGAUGCUCGAAAGCGCGGGUAUCGAACAGGAUUAGAUACCCGAGUAGUC